GUCCCCGCAAAACGUAACUAUAGCCUUAUUUAAGCUCUGUUAUACUUUUCAGUAUGUUAUUUUUAACAAGCACUAAUUUGAUGGUGUUGCAUCUUACCCAAUUAUUUUGCUCAGAAUACACUAAACUUAAACAGCUAUGGUCAGUCUUACACUUGCAGUGAGGAUGAGUUCUUUUUGCUUCGUAUUGAAGGUCUCGCUGUGACCAAGGAUUUCAAUAAAAAGAGCUGUUCCUUUGCGUUUGUGUUAUUGUGCUGUAUGUGUACUGGUUUUGUGUAAUGAGUGGUAGGUAUACAAUAUACUUUUUUUUUCUUGCAAGGCAAAGUCUUAUAUUUUGAAAAGAAGGAUCUCUCUACAAAAUUAUUUAUUACCAUAAAAUACAUGUAGUUUACAACAGUGAUUAAUAUAUUGUAACGUUGUAUUGUAGAAUCAUUUGUCCCUUUCAAUGAACUAUCGGCUUGUAAAUGAUCCGUUUUUAUUUUCUAAAAAGCAGAUAAUUCUAAAAAUGUUGUGCGCAAUUAUAGAUAAUUCGUCAUAGAUGCAAUAUUUUAUAUUAUGUGACUUUUCAUUUUUCAACAAGACUGUACUAAUAUAUUUAUCAGGAAUGUAACAUACUUUUUGUUUUGUUUUGUGAAUCAAUGAAUUCCUAGCACUAGUACCGAAUACCGUUCUGCAACUAUACUUUUCAAUAAAAAAAAAAGAGGUGCACGACUUUCGAAAUCAAUCGUAUGUUUCAUGUGUCCAGCAGCAUCUGUUGACCCUACCUGGGCACCUGAGAUCAUAUUUGUUUUAUAUUUGCAAGGUGUUUCUAAAUCUAUGUUUUAUAUGUUUACUGCUAUAGUUAAGCUGUUGUUUGUCGUUGUUCGUUUUUGCUUUUUGAUUAUUUGUUUUGACUUGUUCUCGAAUUAUGAGUUUGAGUAUACCUUCGGGAUCCUCCUAUAAUAACAACUGUCGGGUAACUGCUGCUAUAAAUUGUUUAAGUCAGGGACUAUCUUUUGGUCUGUUGGUUUUUUUUCUUUUUAGAGCCUUAAAUGUAAGUACAAACUAUUGUUUCUUUCCGAUUUUAGCGUCAAAAGUAACAUAACCAGUAUAAUUUGAAAGACUGGCUGAAGUAACCACAUUUAGUUUGACAUGUAUAUUCAGAUUCAAUUUUUAAUUGGUACAUAUGUUCACUGAACACAAAAUUUCGCUCGCCUUUUGCAACAAUUUUAUUUUAAUAGUGUAAGAAAUCAACAGGGACAACUUAAC
RNAcentral lists this long non-coding RNA (1245 nucleotides) under Mytilus galloprovincialis (Mediterranean mussel). Lineage: Eukaryota; Metazoa; Mollusca; Bivalvia; Mytilida; Mytilidae. The record is from RNAcentral.